Molecule: ribosomal RNA, 437 nt
Filed under: uncultured bacterium
Lineage: Bacteria
Description: partial 16S ribosomal RNA
Rfam family: Bacterial small subunit ribosomal RNA
Source: RNAcentral
AGCGAACGCUGGCGGCAGGCUUAACACAUGCAAGUCGAGCGGGCAUCCUUGUGGUGUCAGCGGCAGACGGGUGAGUAACGCGUGGGAACGUGCCCUUCGGUUCGGAAUAACUCAGGGAAACUUGAGCUAAUACCGGAUACGUGCGAGAGCAAAAAGGUUUAUCUGCCGAAGGAUCGGCCCGCGUCUGAUUAGCUAGUUGGUGAGGUUAUGGCUCACCAAGGCGACGAUCAGUAGCUGGUCUGAGAGGAUGAUCAGCCACACUGGGACUGAGACACGGCCCAGACUCCUACGGGAGGCAGCAGUGGGGAAUAUUGGACAAUGGGGGCAACCCUGAUCCAGCCAUGCCGCGUGAGUGAUGACGGCCUUAGGGUUGUAAAGCUCUUUUCUCCGGGACGAUAAUGACGGUACCGGAGGAAUAAGCCCCGGCUAACUUCGUG